Molecule: ribosomal RNA, 731 nt
Filed under: uncultured bacterium
Lineage: Bacteria
Description: bacterial SSU rRNA
Rfam family: Bacterial small subunit ribosomal RNA
Source: RNAcentral
AGAGUUUGAUCCUGGCUCAGGAUGAACGCUGGCGGCGUGCUUAACACAUGCAAGUCGAACGCUGAAGCUCCCAGCUUGCUGGGGGUGGAUGAGUGGCGAACGGGUGAGUAUCACGUGAGUAACCUGCCCUUGACUCUGGGAUAAGCCCGGGAAACUGGGUCUAAUACUGGAUAGGACUGGCCAUCGCAUGGUGGUUGGUUGAAAGCUUUUGCGGUUUUGGAUGGACUCGCGGCCUAUCAGCUUGUUGGUGGGGUAAUGGCCUACCAAGGCUUUGACGGGUAGCCGGCCUGAGAGGGUGACCGGCCACACUGGGACUGAGACACGGCCCAGACUCCUACGGGAGGCAGCAGUGGGGGAUAUUGCACAAUGGGCGCAAGCCUGAUGCAGCGACGCCGCGUGAGGGAUGACGGCCUUCGGGUUGUAAACCUCUUUCAGUUGGGAAGAAGCCUUUCGGGGUGACGGUACCUUCAGAAGAAGCACCGGCUAACUACGUGCCAGCAGCCGCGGUAAUACGUAGGGUGCGAGCGUUAUCCGGAAUUAUUGGGCGUAAAGAGCUCGUAGGCGGUUUGUCACGUCUGCUGUGAAAGCUCGGGGCUUAACUCCGAGUGUGCAGUGGGUACGGGCAGGCUGGAGUGCAGUAGGGGAGACUGGAAUUCCUGGUGUAGCGGUGAAAUGCGCAGAUAUCAGGAGGAACACCGAUGGCGAAGGCAGGUCUCUGGGCUGUUACUGAC